UUAAAUUCUAUUUAAUUUAAUACCUCCCCAUUCACUUGAACUACUUUCUCUGUUUGUAAUGCCGCAUCUGAAGCAUACUUUAUUUGCAGAGGAAAAUUUCUAGACUUCUCCAUGUCAAUUUAUGUUAGUAAAUGAUUGUUGUUUCUUCGAUAAAAACUUUUGCAACCUCCAUCUUUGAAAUAAACUACAUAGCCAUUUUGUACAAGUUGUUAGAUAUUCAAUAAGUUUUGCUUCAAAUUUGACAGUAAUAG
This 251-nucleotide long non-coding RNA is filed under the name Carica papaya (papaya). Its description in RNAcentral is "long non-coding RNA (CPAP_LNC008922)". Lineage: Eukaryota; Viridiplantae; Streptophyta; Magnoliopsida; Brassicales; Caricaceae. The record is from RNAcentral.